Long non-coding RNA from Pieris rapae (cabbage white), 987 nucleotides. RefSeq lists it as uncharacterized. The transcript is spliced from 3 exons. NCBI's taxonomy places the organism in Eukaryota, Metazoa, Arthropoda, Insecta, Lepidoptera, Pieridae. The record is from RefSeq and is a predicted model, not a curated record.
UAUAGGUAUAGUCGAGCGCAGACUUUGGUGUGCUGUGCCAGCCGCCAGGAUGUAAAAACACAUGUACAUACAAAAACACCCACACGGCACACAAUAAGUUGUUUAUUAAAGUACCGCACGUUGAUUUAAACAUGAGAAGAACUUGGUUAAAGAGAGCUGGCAAAUAUCCGCAUAAUCUUUCAAAAAAGACUAUAAAGCAUUUAUUUUUGUGAAGAUCACUUCGAUUUGCAAAAUGACAUGGAAAGCUACCAUAGGUAUAAAAUUAAGAAUUUAUAUGAAAUCUAAUUGCAUUCCUUCAAAAUUUGAUUGUCAAAAUACAUCAACAAUGGAACCACUAAUAAUUGAUAAGAAGAACUUGAGGCAGAUUCUGAAGAAAAACAAAUGAAAGAUUAUGAGGUACCAAUAAUAUAUGCUAGUAUAAAGUUUAAAUUUAUUGGUGCUUUCAUCGAAGAAAUGAAAAGAGUUUUUGUUAACCAAGAAAUCAUAACAGGCAGUUAAUAGAUGACAUUCUGAAGUAGUUGGAAUAAAUACUGAGAUUUCUUGAUCUGCUGUGUCUGGCCCUAACAUGCCCUUGCCAACACAAGCCUAGGAAAGUGCAAGGGCUUGGUUCUUUAACAGAUUCUUUGCAACUUCAUAAGCUGAGUUUGGAUUAUCCCAGAUAAAAAACACCAUCAGGACAUGACAUCAAACAAACACGAUACCAAAGGCAAGAACCAGUUUGUUGUACAGAUCCCCAUUAUCCAGGAUGUCGCGCUUACUAAAUGCUGUCUCCGAUACUAUCAACUAGAUUAAUAAUAAUAAUAAUAAUGUAUUUAAUUUUCUCCCUUAAACAUUAACAAUAAUAAUUGUAUGUUUGCAGAGUGAAUUCGCAGUAGCGAUAUAGUGUAAAUUAUGUGUCUAAUUUUUAUGUACAUUGUUAUAUUUUUAUUAAAUGUUUCUACACAUUGUCGUAUUGGCAUAGGCUGUAUAUAUAAUGUAUGUCUGAAA